Molecule: transfer RNA, 70 nt
Filed under: Promirotermes redundans
Lineage: Eukaryota; Metazoa; Arthropoda; Insecta; Blattodea; Termitidae
Description: tRNA-Gln
Source: RNAcentral
UACAUCUUGGUGUAUGGCGCACGGUGGCUUUUGAUGCUUGAUAGUGAUAGUUUGAUUCUGUCGGAUGUAA